RNAcentral lists this ribosomal RNA (254 nucleotides) under uncultured bacterium. RNAcentral describes it as "partial 16S ribosomal RNA". It matches the Rfam family "Bacterial small subunit ribosomal RNA", at positions 524 to 776 of the family's 1533-position model. The record is from RNAcentral.
UACGGAGGAUGCAAGCGUUAUCCGGAAUGAUUGGGCGUAAAGCGUCCGCAGGUGGCGAUGUAAGUCUGCUGUUAAAGAGUCUAGCUCAACUAGAUAAGAGCAGUGGAAACUACAUUCGCUAGAGUACGUUCGGGGCAGAGGGAAUUCCUGGUGUAGCGGUGAAAUGCGUAGAGAUCAGGAAGAACACCAGUGGCGAAGGCGCUCUGCUAGGCCGUAACUGACACUGAGGGACGAAAGCUAGGGGAGCAAACAGG